GAUGAAGAACGUAGCGAAAUGCGAUAAGUAAUGUGAAUUGCAGAAUUCAGUGAAUCAUCGAAUCUUUGAACGCACAUUGCGCCCCCUGGUAUUCCGGGGGGCAUGCCUGUCCGAGCGUCAUUACAACCCUCAAGCUCAGCUUGGUGUUGGGCCCCGCCGCCCCGGCGGGCCCUAAAGUCAGUGGCGGUGCCGUCCGGCUCCGAGCGUAGUAAUUCUUCUCGCUCUGGAGGUCCGGUCGCAUGCUCGCCAGCAACCCCCAAUUUUUUCAGGUUGACCUCGGAUCAGGUAGGGAUACCCGCUGAACUUAAGCAUAUCAAUAAGCGGAGGA
Molecule: unclassified non-coding RNA, 328 nt
Filed under: soil metagenome
Description: partial contains 5.8S ribosomal RNA, internal transcribed spacer 2, and large subunit ribosomal RNA
Rfam family: 5.8S ribosomal RNA (bases 1-120)
Source: RNAcentral